This is an RNA transcript of Belonocnema kinseyi, 1783 nucleotides long. RefSeq lists it as uncharacterized. The record is from RefSeq and is a predicted model, not a curated record. The transcript has 8 exons. NCBI's taxonomy places the organism in Eukaryota, Metazoa, Arthropoda, Insecta, Hymenoptera, Cynipidae.
CUGAAAUCCACAAAACCUAAAAAUACUAUCUUUUGACAAUUUUAGUAUGAUAAACAGUUUUAUUUACUUUCAAGCCUACAAAGUUUUCGAAAUGUCGCAGUUGUCUUUGGACUCAUUAGAAGAUGGGACAUUUAGGAACUACAGAAACAAAAAUGCUUUGUCAAAAAUAGAUCAAUGUAACCUCAAAGGUAGAUUUUCAAAAUUGAAGCGACAAUCUUUUUAUUUAGAGCAGCAGGAAUUUACUAAUCUUAUUAGAGAUACCAGACCUGAUGAAACAGCGUUUCACGUUCCCUUCGACAAUAGAGGCAUUCUCUGCACCGGUGUGAUAAUUGCGAGGGACAAUAUCGAGAAAAUGCCCGGAAUGGAAUCCACGUCAUGUAAGAAACAUUUCGAGAGAGACUCAACUACAGGGCGUAUUCCGGUUCGACAGAAAUCACGCGGGAAAAGUGUAAUGGAACCGAAAUUUUCAUUGAGAAGCCGAUUUCGAGAUUCGUCGAAUAAAACAAACCUAUUGCUCUGUUCUCGUAGCGAUGCAAUUUUGGAGAAGAAUGAAAAAAAGCUGGGCAACGUAAUCUUGCCAAAAAUUGACUAUAAGCCUAAGACGUACCUUGAGCUUUAUCGACGGAAAUUCAGUGCAGAGAGAAAACAGUGUAUUUUUUCCCCGGAGGGUUCUACCCUGUCGAUUUGUGGUGACAGCCUGCACGAGCGACAUCUCACAGAUGUUGAUAGUCGAGGUUCUUCUUCGACCUCUGGGGAUGAUCAAAGCGAACUAAGUUUCUAUCGUCGUUUGAUGGAGCAAAACUUGCAAGAACCACGGACAGGCAGAUCCUGCGAGACCCUGGAUUGCGCCAAUCUUCAGAAUCAGCCUGUUGAAAUUGGAUUUUAUAGAGAUAAGCCCGUCUCAAGUAGCAUUUCUGAUAGUAAAUUGCGCUCGUCUAGGAGAAGUAUAUCCUAUCAACCAUAUACGAUCGAAGACUAUAAAACUCUCUCGGUCCCGAGGGCAGAUCGCUCCUUAGGACCCGAUCAAGUUGAAGUCGAAAAGAAAAGAGUAUGGUUGAUGCGACGUAAAUCGUACGGGGACAUGGCCAGCGCACGUAAUCGUCAAAAUAUCGCCCUUUAUGCGCGGAAACAUAAGGAUGUAAUGGAAGAGCAUAAACUAAAUGAAGCGAGGAAAAAUUCAAAUCGAGGUAACGAUGCUAGACGUUCCACGAGACCCUCACGUCCCAGGAAAGCAUCAUCCAUCAAGAUGUCGAUUUCGAGAUCAAAAUCCGUCUUGGAGUCUUCAAAUCACUGUCUUUCCAAAACUUCCUUCGCUCUCAUAGAAGAUCGAAAUCUCGAUUCCCUGCGACAGCGGCAUCUAAAUGAGAAAAGAAUGAUAGAUCAACUCAUUAAUCGGUCUUCGUUGCUUAUCUGACGUCCCUUUUCGAAAAAAAGAAAACUUGCAUAGUGAAGUGUCGGGAGUUGCCUGCAAAUAGCCUUAGCCACAUAUCAAAAGGAUCCAACAUUAACAAUCCUGCAAAAGAUAGUGCGCCUGAGAACAAGCUGAUACAACUUUACCCUCUUCACGGGACCUUCUUCGCUCACUUUCUCGCAAACAAAUUACCCCAGAGUUCCCGGUUGGCCAAGCGAUGAAAUAUUUAAACUUAAUUCCACCGUGAUAAGUUAUUCAUUGAAGGUUAUACUGAAGAUGUGGUGCUGAAUCAGAAGUGCUGCCGCAGUUCGGAAGAGGUAGUUAAUAAGUUUUCGGAUCUUAGAAGUUCAACGGCACCAAUUUUGCAAUAUG